RNAcentral lists this long non-coding RNA (216 nucleotides) under Lathyrus oleraceus (garden pea). Its description in RNAcentral is "Pisum sativum (pea) long non-coding RNA (PSAT_LNC004823)". The record is from RNAcentral. Lineage: Eukaryota; Viridiplantae; Streptophyta; Magnoliopsida; Fabales; Fabaceae.
UGUCUUGGAAGAGGGUGCAGAGGAUUCUGACAAUUUUGUCAUCCCUGGUGGGAUCUGCAACAAUUGGGUCGCUGUGGAUGUUCCUACAGUCAUCCAUAAGUCAAAGUAAUGACUCACUUUGUUUAAAAACCCUUCUCCCAUGCCAAAAGGAGAAGUGAUGACAUUGUUGGCAACAUUUAAUACAAUGAUAUUUUCAUUCAAUAAAUUCAUGUUAAA